This 377-nucleotide ribosomal RNA is filed under the name uncultured Planctomycetota bacterium. RNAcentral's name for it is "bacterial SSU rRNA". It matches the Rfam family "Bacterial small subunit ribosomal RNA", at positions 521 to 896 of the family's 1533-position model. Lineage: Bacteria; Pseudomonadati; Planctomycetota. The record is from RNAcentral.
UAAUACGAAGGUGGCAAGCGUUGUUCGGAUUCACUGGGCAUAAAGGGCGUGUAGGCGGUAUGGCAAGCGGCGUGUGAAAUCCCGGGGCUCAACCCCGGAACUGCACGCCGAACUGCCGUACUAGAGGACAGGAGGGGGAUGUGGAACUCUAGGUGUAGCGGUGAAAUGCGUAGAUAUCUAGAGGAACGCCGGUGGCGAAAGCGACAUCCUGGCCUGUAUCUGACGCUGAGGCGCGAAAGCGUGGGUAGCAAACAGGAUUAGAUACCCUGGUAGUCCACGCCGUAAACGAUGAGCACUAGGUAGCCGCGGGAACCGACCCGUGGCUGCUGAAGGUAAUCCACUAAGUGCUCCGCCUGGGGAGUACGGUCGCAAGGCUG